CGAGGUGUGGCGCAGCUUGGUAGCGCGUUUGGUUCGGGACCAAAAGGUCGCAGGUUCAAAUCCUGUCACCUCGACCA
RNAcentral lists this transfer RNA (77 nucleotides) under Clostridiales bacterium. RNAcentral describes it as "tRNA-Pro". It matches the Rfam family "tRNA". Rfam says of the family: Transfer RNA (tRNA) molecules are approximately 80 nucleotides in length. Their secondary structure includes four short double-helical elements and three loops (D, anti-codon, and T loops). Further hydrogen bonds mediate the characteristic L-shaped molecular structure. tRNAs have two regions of fundamental functional importance: the anti-codon, which is responsible for specific mRNA codon recognition, and the 3' end, to which the tRNAs corresponding amino acid is attached (by aminoacyl-tRNA synthetases). tRNAs cope with the degeneracy of the genetic code in two manners: having more than one tRNA (with a specific anti-codon) for a particular amino acid; and 'wobble' base-pairing, i.e. permitting non-standard base-pairing at the 3rd anti-codon position. Lineage: Bacteria; Bacillati; Bacillota; Clostridia; Eubacteriales. The record is from RNAcentral.